UACAUUUUGGUCAAACAGACAAGUCAAACUUAAAGAUGAUCAUAUAUGGUUAAAGAUGAUUUUAUAUGGUUAUAUAAAAAUAUAAUCAUUUUACAGGGCUCACCUUCAAGAGGCAGCCAAUCUGGUGGACAGAGUGGAUGUGAUUGCUCUGGUGCAAGUUCUAGUGGAUCAUCUUCCUCACUGAGAAGUAAUUCCUCUUCAAAUGUAAGCAGUAUUCAUCAUUUUAAGGGUACCCUGCGUUUGUUUAGUCAGUAUGAUAGCUAG
RNAcentral lists this long non-coding RNA (264 nucleotides) under Meleagris gallopavo (turkey). RNAcentral's name for it is "lncRNA (ENSMGAG00000018502.1)". Lineage: Eukaryota; Metazoa; Chordata; Aves; Galliformes; Phasianidae. The record is from RNAcentral.